AUCAUUGUAAUUAUAACUUUUUUUUCUCCAUUCAGAUUUUCAGAUUAUACAGACAAUAUUUUCUCAUAGUGAAAACUGUGCUGGUCAGAUUUUUGAUAUCAAUCUACUCUUUGGGGAUUAUGAGUUGCUGGGCUCUUUUCAUCAUCACUGCACUAACAAUGACUUGUCAGGCCACUGCAUUGCAUACAAAUAAGGGGCAGGCACAGUUCCUAUUUAGUUUAAAGUUUAGGAUGACAAGAAUAACAGCAAAGAUUUAUUUCACAUCUAUUUUAUGCAGAACUUUCUGUUCCCAGGAACUGAGAAAGACCACAUUGAGGUGACAAAAUUAUAAAAUUGGCAUGCUAAUCUUCAAAGAAUCAAAAUUAAAGGGGACCCAAAGAAUCCUGGAGGAAGAUGAUUUACAAGCGCCAUAGAAGAACACAUAUCACUGAAGUGUCAUGCAAAUAUAUGUUAAAAUUACUUUAGAUUGUAUUUUAUUUGUGACUGUAAAUAUAGUGUACAAUGAUUAUUUGAGUACCAAUAUCAAAGAAGGCCAAAGAUAGAGAGAAAUGAACUUACCUGAGGUCUUCACCAAAGACAUAGAGACAUUCUUCAAAGACAAAGACAUUCUUCACUAGAAUCCAAAGAGAAAGUAAUCUUUAUUGAUACUAUGAUUUUUCAGAGGUUCCUAUUUAUGGAUGACAUAAUACUGUUUGCAUUGACUUUCUCAAGACUAAAGGACCCACUCACUGCAUCCAUGGCCAUACAAAAGUUAUUUCCUUCAAGGAAGGGAAGAAAUUUAAAAAUAUCUAUUGUCAAGUUGAUAAAAUGGAGUCGAUUAGUAUACUCAUUGAGUUAGUCUAUACAAUGAAUAUUUUGGAUGGGAGCUACAGAUAGCCAGUGAGGUGAGCAAAUAAUGGAAUAGAAUUCCAUUUGGGAAACUGUGAAGUGAUUACAAUAAACACCAAGCUGCUCACUGUCA
This 961-nucleotide long non-coding RNA is filed under the name Monodelphis domestica (gray short-tailed opossum). RNAcentral describes it as "lncRNA (ENSMODG00000040737.1)". The record is from RNAcentral. Lineage: Eukaryota; Metazoa; Chordata; Mammalia; Didelphimorphia; Didelphidae.